GUGAGGAAUAUUGGUCAAUGGGCGGGAGCCUGAACCAGCCAAGUCGCGUGAAGGAAGAAGGAUCUAUGGUUCGUAAACUUCUUUUGCAGGGGAAUAAAGUGCAGGACGUGUCCUGUUUUGUAUGUACCCUGAGAAUAAGGAUCGGCUAACUCCGUGCCAGCAGCCGCGGUAAUACGGAGGAUCCGAGCGUUAUCCGGAUUUAUUGGGUUUAAAGGGUGCGUAGGUGGUUUGAUAAGUCAGCGGUGAAAGUUUGCAGCUUAACUGUAGAAAUGCCGUUGAAGCUGUCGGGCUUGAGUGUAAAUGAGGUAGGCGGAAUGCGUGGGGUAGCGGUGAAAUGCAUAGAUAUCACGCAGAACUCCGAUUGCGAAGGCAGCUUACUAAGCUACAACUGACACUGAAGCACGAAAGCGUGGGGAUCAAACAGGAUUAGAAACCCCUGUAGUCC
Molecule: ribosomal RNA, 445 nt
Filed under: uncultured bacterium
Lineage: Bacteria
Description: partial 16S ribosomal RNA
Rfam family: Bacterial small subunit ribosomal RNA
Source: RNAcentral